CUAAACCUUGCGAUUUUUGAAUUUCGGGGUUCAUUCGACUUGGCCUGACCCAAGGAUUCAGAGGAAAAAAGAAUUUUCAUUUUGUGGCUUACGGUUAAAAAGUUAUUAGCAUAAAAAUAUUGAAACUUUGGACAAUGGUGGCGCUAGAGAGUAGGAGAUAGAGACUUCAAAUUUGCUAUAUUUAAUGCUGGGACUGUCCUCUAUCAGUGUGCCAAAUUAUACAACUUUCCCGCAAUCGGUUCUAUGGGCUGCCAUAGACUUGCGGCGGAAGAAGAAGAAGAAGAAGAAGAAGAAGAAGAAGAAGAAGAAGAAGAAGAAUAACGCCAACGGAUACAAUAGGUGCCUACGCACCUUCGGUGCUUGGCCCCUAAUAAAUAUAGCUGCAAGCAGCAAUUACGGGGCCAAGCACUACAGGAGCAAGCUUCAGACAAACGGCGGGAAUGAGUAAUUAAAACCGUUUUAAGAUUAUUUUAAGCAAAAUGGCUUGAAAACAAUAAAGACAACAACUUGUAAUAGUAUUUAUUGGCAUAUCAUAUUUGACCAGUAGGUGGCGCUGUUACUAAAUUAGUGUGGAAUGGUCAGUGUGACGUGACUAUUGCACAUACAAAAUAUGGUGUCAGUAUGUCAAAGAUUUGAAGAGAUAUAGCCUUGGAGUCAUUUUGACACAGUGCUUAAAGUUUAUAGCGGCGCUGUACGAAAACGGUUGCUUCUAUCGACACGAAAUCCAUAAUGUUUUGUCAGCACAGUCUGAAGAUGACUUUAUUCGAUUUUGGUGAAAAUCGGACCAAAGGUUGAUGAGGAGAGCAAAAAAGUAGGUUUUCAACAUAAAUCAAAAUAGCCGACAGAAAGUUCGGCUUAUUAUGACAUACUUGAUAUGUAUGUUGUUGGCAUGACCCAAGAAAUAUUUUGAGAUCAGUUUCAUUACAAUAGGUCAAUGCAAUCAAAAGUUAUGAAUUUUUCAAAAAUGCUAAUAAUUAAGAAUUAAUGAAUGUUUAUUACUCCGGACCAAUAGGUGGCGCUGUUACCAAAUUGAUGUGGCGUGAUCAAUUUGUGGUGACAAUGGUUCAUGCAACGUUUGGUGUAAAUAUGUCAAAUCUGUGCAGAGAUACAGCCUCAGAUACAUUUUGGCAUCCUUCCAACAAAUUCGUUGGUGCGCUAAACGAAAACCAUUUCGUAUAUCGACACGAAAUCCAUAACUUUUUGCCAGCAUCGUCUGAAGAUGAUCUGAGUCACAUUUGGUGAAAAUUGGACUAACGGUCUAGGAGGAGUUUGAAAAAUUAGGUUUUCAACAUGAAUCAAAAUGGCGGACAGGAAGUUUGGCCAAUUUUGUCAUAAUUGGUAUCGAUGUUCUCGGCAUGAUCCAAAGAAUUUAGGGAGACCACUUUCAUUCCAAUAGUCCAAUGUAUUCAAACUUUAUUAGCAUUUAUUGUAAAUUUCUUUAUAACUUUUGACCACAAGGUGGCGCUGUGCCCAAAGUUUUUGAGUACC
Molecule: long non-coding RNA, 1488 nt
Organism: Cyprinus carpio carpio
Lineage: Eukaryota; Metazoa; Chordata; Actinopteri; Cypriniformes; Cyprinidae
Source: Ensembl